AAACGACAUUCGUCAAACAGUCGAGCUGCAGAACCUAAGGCCGGCGACGCCCUACGCAGUUCGCGUUGCCACCGCUAACGAAGUGGGCGUGAGUCGAUACACGGCACCCGUACACUUCACCACUCAUGAAGAAGCUCCAUCAACCCCACCGAUCAAUGUCCAUGUGGAACAGACAGAAAAUCCAGGAGAGUUAUAUGUAACGUGGCUUUCUCCGCCUAAAGAUAGCCAUAACGGCAUCAUUACAGGGUACCACAUCAAGGCUGUGCCACAGAAUGUGAGAUC
This 282-nucleotide unclassified non-coding RNA is filed under the name Melitaea cinxia (Glanville fritillary). RNAcentral's name for it is "misc RNA ENSMCXG00005001813.1". The record is from RNAcentral. Lineage: Eukaryota; Metazoa; Arthropoda; Insecta; Lepidoptera; Nymphalidae.